RNAcentral lists this ribosomal RNA (464 nucleotides) under uncultured bacterium. Its description in RNAcentral is "partial 16S ribosomal RNA". It matches the Rfam family "Bacterial small subunit ribosomal RNA", at positions 28 to 506 of the family's 1533-position model. The record is from RNAcentral.
GAUGAACGCUGGCGGCGUGCUUAACACAUGCAAGUCGAACGGAAAGGCUCCUGCUUGCAGGGGUACUCGAGUGGCGAGCGGGUGAGUAACACGUGGGUGAUCUGCCCUGCACUUCGGGAUAAGCCUGGGAAACUGGGUCUAAUACCGGAUAGGACGAUGGUUUGGAUGCCAUUGUGGAAAGUUUUUCGGUGUGGGAUGAGCUCGCGGCCUAUCAGCUUGUUGGUGGGGUAAUGGCCUACCAAGGCGUCGACGGGUAGCCGGCCUGAGAGGGUGUACGGCCACAUUGGGACUGAGAUACGGCCCAGACUCCUACGGGAGGCAGCAGUGGGGAAUAUUGCACAAUGGGCGCAAGCCGGAGGCAGCGACGCCGCGUGGGGGAUGACGGCCUUCGGGUUGUAAACUCCUUUCGCUAGGGACGAAGCGCAAGUGACGGUACCUGGAGAAGAAGCACCGGCUAACUACGU